CAGUUCGGAUUGUAGUCUGCAACUCGACUACAUGAAGCUGGAAUCGCUAGUAAUCGCGAAUCAGCAUGUCGCGGUGAAUACGUUCCCGGGUCUUGUACACACCGCCCGUCACACCAUGGGAGUUGGUAACGCCCGAAGCCAGUGACCCAACCGGAAACGGAGGGAGCUGUCGAAGGUGGGACCGAUAACUGGGGUGAAGUCGUAACAAGGUAUC
This 214-nucleotide ribosomal RNA is filed under the name uncultured bacterium. Its description in RNAcentral is "partial 16S ribosomal RNA". It matches the Rfam family "Bacterial small subunit ribosomal RNA", at positions 1289 to 1500 of the family's 1533-position model. The record is from RNAcentral.